CCUGAGAAACCCAAAAGAUCGAAUGGGGAGAUUCAUCGUCAGCACAUUUUGUAUAUGUAUGAGUUAUGAUGCGGGUUACUCUUGAGUAUUGCCUGCACAUUCUUGUAUAUUUAGUUGCAAGAUGUUGUCGGCGUGCACUUCUUCCCUUAGUAGGACGUCGUGACCCGUUGGGUGUUGGUUUACGGCCCAAGUGGUAGCCUCCAAUGUUUUUAAUAAAUAUUAGAGACCCUUGGUGUUUUCUGACCAACUGCCCGGCGGUAUUCGUACGGUAUUUAGCCGCAUUUUAUUAUGCGUCCACGCCCGUCGCAAGCGCGGUUAGAUUUCGAUAGUACGGACUUGGUGCCGUCGUUGUAUCUGACCAGCUGUUGGUUGUUACGGUGUUCUAGGACUGGCUAAAAAUUGAAAUUACCGGUCGACGAUGCUACUGCUUUGGGUACUUUCAGGACCCGUCUUGAAACACGGACCAAGNAGUCUAACAUGUGCGCGAGUCAUUGGGAUUCUUAAAAAAAUUAAACCUAAAGGGGUAAUGGAAGUAAAGGUCGGCCUUGUGUCGCAUUAGGGAGGAUGAGUUGUAUUAAGAUAUAGAUUCGGACUCCCCGGGG
Molecule: ribosomal RNA, 602 nt
Filed under: Dendrosoter protuberans
Lineage: Eukaryota; Metazoa; Arthropoda; Insecta; Hymenoptera; Braconidae
Description: eukaryotic LSU rRNA
Source: RNAcentral